GAUGAACGCUGGCGGCGUGUCUAAGGCAUGCAAGUCGAACGGACUGAUGGUAUCAGCAAUGAUGUUAUCGGUUAGUGGCAAACGGGUGAGUAACACAUUAGCAACCUGCCUCGAAGUUCAGAAUAACGGUCCGAAAGGACCGCUAAUACUGGAUGUGACCAUCGGAUGAUGUCCGAUGAGGAAAGCCCAAAAGGCGCUUCGAGAGGGGCUUAUGGCUUAUCAGCUAGUUGGUGAGGUAAUGGCUCACCAAGGCUAUGACGAGUAGCAGGCGUGAGAGCGCGACCUGCCUCAGUGGAACUGAGACACUGUCCACACNCCUACGGGAGCUGCAGUCGAGAAUCUUCCUCAAUGGGCGAAAGCCUGAAGGAGCGACGCGCGUGCGGGAUGAAGGGCUUCGGCCUGUAAACCG
Molecule: ribosomal RNA, 409 nt
Filed under: uncultured bacterium
Lineage: Bacteria
Description: bacterial SSU rRNA
Rfam family: Bacterial small subunit ribosomal RNA
Source: RNAcentral